This is a non-coding RNA of Pelobates cultripes (western spadefoot toad), 249 nucleotides long. The record is from the annotation of a GenBank genome assembly. Lineage: Eukaryota; Metazoa; Chordata; Amphibia; Anura; Pelobatidae.
CAUACACAAGCAAUGCAACCGUUACACACAAUGCAUCCCUUACACACACAGAAACACACAUUGCAUUCAUUACACACACUCAAUGCACCCCUUACACACAUUCAAUGCAUCCCAUACAUACACAGAAACACACCUUGCAGUCCUUACACAUACAAACACAAUUUCACACAAUGCAUUCCUUACACACAUAUCAGGACAUCCCCUACACACUCCACCCCCUGUGAACAAACUCAUUGGUGGAACAUGAAG